Ictidomys tridecemlineatus (thirteen-lined ground squirrel) is the source of this 5139-nucleotide non-coding RNA. The record is from RefSeq and is a predicted model, not a curated record. Lineage: Eukaryota; Metazoa; Chordata; Mammalia; Rodentia; Sciuridae.
ACGGGUAUAUUUAGCAGCAGGCGGGAGUCCCAGCGGCCCUGGUUCAGAGGCAGGCGUCCUCCCCUUUCUCACCCGUCCGUGGCCCUCCCUCUCUCUGCCUCCUCCUCCUCCUCCUCCAAAAACACUCUUUGUCUGGUCUAAUUUCUUCAAUCUGUUGCAAUCACGAAUGCAUCCAAAUUACCACAUUUCCAUGUGCUGAUCAUAUGUUUGUGCUCCAAACUGAAGUAGCAUUGUCUCUUCAAAACAGGAGGGAAAGGCAGCGAGGAGAGAGACGGGAGGGGGGAAAGCCGAGGAGAGGGGCCCAGAGGUGGGUCCGGAGGGAUUCCGACGCGCCCAGGGUCCUCCUGCGCGAGGACCGGCCGCCUGGCCUUUGGAGCGGUGGCUUCAGCCGUCCAGCGUCCAGCUUCCGGCAGCGGCGUCCUCUCUCCACCCCCUCCAGCCCCCGCCGCCCUGAGCCUCGCUGCUCCUUUUUAAUAUCCACUUGGAGAUGCUUAACUUAGGCUCUUGGAAACCAACUCGCAGAGUCAAAUUCCUGGCGACUUCCAAAGUCUUUCAUUUUCCCCGUCCAGCGAUGCCGCGAUUUCCUGGGGUUUAAGUGUUUAAAAAGCCCAGUUCCUGCUGCCUGCCUCGCCUGCCUCUGGCCCCGCUGGCCCGGCUCUUCCUUGGCACCCCGACUGGGCUGGAUGGGGGAUGGCCACCUCCCCAGGCAUGCGGGCUGGGAGAAGGUUCCAGAGCACCUGCCCAGGAUGAACCCUACGAAGGUGCCCCUCUGCCGCUAGCCUAGCCUGCUGUGUCAGAGGGAGCUGCCGUCCCCACCCCAGCAGAGGCUUCCUGGAAGAUUCCUACCACAGAGCAUGAGUCAGUGCCUGCCCCCCAGAGGCCUCCAAGUUCACGAUCCCUGCCUCAGCACAGGUGAGUUAUGCGUGCCCAGGUAAGGCUCCGGUGUCGGUAUCGCUCUCAGCUGGCCGACAGAGCCAAAGGCCCCGAUGUGUCCCUGACACUUUGCCACCUGACCCCCUCCCUGCCUGGGACAGGACCCCCCAAUGCACUGGCCUACGGCAAGGGCAUUUCUUGCAGGAUUCGGGGGGUGGGGGUAUAAUCUCCAGCCUCCUGGGAGACACGGAAUAGCAACUGCCCCCUCCCAAGGAGCCUGAAGGGCAGCCCCACAGGACAGUCUGCACACACAGAAGGUGGGAACAGUGUCUUGGUCACGGCAGUGGGCUGAAUAAGGGCCCUAGUUCCUAGAACCCGCAACUGUGACCGAUUUGGAAAAGGGUCUCUAUAGGUGUGACUAAGUGAAGGAUGGGGACAGGGCCUUGGAUCACCCAGGUGGACCCUUAAGGCCAUCACAUGUUCCCAUGUAAGAGGGAGCUGUUGCUGCACGGAGCAGGACGGGGAACGUGGAGAGAGAGGGCGAGACUCCGCCUGAAGGCUGGGAGAGGCCCCGGGGCCUCCCCUGGCCUCUGGAGGGAGCCGGGAUUUGCAGACAACUCGAUUCAGACCAGCGAAGCUCAGGUCAGACGCGGUGCCUCCAGAGCCCUGGGAGGGCACAGCUGCGGAGUUUUAGCACCCAGUUUGGGGGAGCUCGCUACCGCAGCCAUGAGACCCCACAGCCAGCACCCCAGACGGAUCAAGAGGCACGUUCGCUGAGGCUGUUUUCUGUUACUCAGCCUCUAACCACGGACCCUCACUGACAGAGCAGUGAGAAUCGAGGGGGCCUGGGGGUGAGCUGUGUACUCUUCUGACUCUGAAAAAAACUCUGCUUUUUUCUCUGAUUACAGCUGUAAUGUUUGUUCACUGUAUUGAGUUUAGAAACCACAGGAAAAAUACAAAGAAGCCCUGUUAAUCCUACUCCAGCCUCUCCAGCACCGUGUCCCUCCUGCAGGCAAGCCAGGAAGGCCCCGGAGGCCACCGGCCUGGCCAGCUGGCGGAAACACGGGGAGUGGCCACGGCCAGGGCUGUGCCUGCUCUGGGUUCACUGCUGUGGUCUGUGCAGUGCCCAGCUCAGCCUUGACCCUCAGUUCUCCAUGGCAUAGCUGAGCUCAAGGUCUGUUUCUGCACUGUGCCUAAAAAUGCAAGCAUUCUGGCCCAAGCAGGGGACAACGUGAAACCAAAAGCCUGGCGGCGCCCAUUGGCUCCGAGGAGGCCCACGUUAGUCACGAGCCAGCUCCGAGCAGGGUGCGGAGGUAAGGCCAGGCUGCCAGGAGAAACGAGGCUCCCGCCCACUGCCUGUGGUGUCCAGGACUCAGGUGGGCAGCCUUCCAGGCUAGCCCAAGUCCCAGGAGUGGGUCCCACAUGCUCCUCCCUCGGCGGGACAGUGAGGAGGUAUCUGGGGCUGUGUAUCCCCUUACCCCGUCUCACACUCCCCGGGCAAUGACAGCGUAUUCGGCGCAGUGAGGCGUCCAAGACAGCUCAGUCUCCCAAGUGGACCUGGCUUGCCGCUCCGGGGAGGCAGGGCCCUGGGGCCACAGCUCUGGGAACUCACUGUGCCAGCCACAAGCCCCAGCUCCCACCCCCGGCCUGCCCCUAGUCAGGGUGCCGUCACCAACAGCCCCUUCCAGAAGAUUCAAAAGCAGCACCUCAGUCCUCACCUCACAUCAGAACACCCCUGGUGGCUUUGCCGGGUCACUGUCACAGUUCUCAGACCCUCCUAACUGCAGAGUGGCGCUCGCCGGCACAGAGCCCACUUGGAGAAGCAGCCAGGGGCCCGCGGAGGGUAAAGAGGGACGGUGAGGACCACUUCGCCUCUUAGACGUGGCCAGGCCCCAGGGCAGCCAGAACCUGCACGUAGGACCGAGGGCCCCACUCACUCUGCUUGGACCCUGCUCAGGGGACUUGGGAACCUUCACGGUGAGUGCCAGCUACAGGGACGUGCAGGCUCACUUUCAACAGUGACUUCCCCGAGCCAGGUGCUGCCGCACAUGCCUGGAAUCUUGCUGACUUGGGAAGCUGAGGCAGGAGGAUGGCAGAUUUGAGGUGAGCCUCUGCAACUUAGGAGACUCCCAAAAUAAAGUAAAAUACAAAGGGCUGAGGUUGUAGUCCAGCAGUAAAGGACCCUGGGCUUAAUACCUAACACCAAAAAUAAAUAAAUAAAAUAAAAGACUUUUCUGUUCAUUUCCUGCUUUUUCCCAAACUUGCCCACUUAAGUUUGCCCCCUCGAAUUAAAAAUAAAGGCGCUGGGUCCCAUGGCCCCGGGGUGCCGACCCGGCCACAGUUGCUGCUGCGGUACCCACCAAGCAGCCUCCAGCGCAGCCGAGACCCAGCCUCGGGGGCUGCAUCUUCUCUGGAAUCUUCUCGGCACUUUUUAUUAGACCUCAAGAUUCGUCUGCUCCCGAAUCAAUAAAAGCCAGCUCCUCUCUGCUCCCGGGGCUGCUGCAGGGUUCACUGGUGUCGAUGGCGUGGGCCAGCCGGCGGCUUUGGGAGCUCCUCCAGGUCAGCGUAGAAGGGGACCAAGGGGAUGGGAGAGGCAGCCCAGCCAGGGCGGAUUCCUCCGCUCACGGCCUCAUGCUCAGUCAUCCAGCCAGGGCUGCAGGAGCCAGAGCUGGCGCUUCACUCCUACAGGGGCCUCGGCUGGUGUCUGCUCAGAGCAGGAGAGACAGAGGCCAGGGGAGGCCGGGGGAGCCUGGGUCCCUCUUAGAGUGAGACAGGAGCUGGCGCUUCUACUUCCCACCGGGAGCCCAACUGCCUGCUCCGCAGGUGCCCAAGGACUGAAAGCCAGCGCGUGGUGCUCCCAACCAGCACCUGGCCACAGAGCUCUCUGCCAGGGUGUCAGUGCUCCAUGUCAGCCCAGGAGCCACCAGCGGCCAGUGUGCCUGGGCAGUGGGCAGGGCUCUGCACUCACGGUGUAACUUAAAUGUAAGCCCAGCGCUGCCUGACCACUCCAGCCCUUCUACUGUCUUCCUUGCCCUCCCUGGAGACAGUGGAUUGCCGUGACCUGCCUCCCCAGAAGGCAGGCAAAGGGGAGAGCUACUUCUCAGCCAAAGCCCAAGAAGGCCGAUACCUCUAUUUUAAGUUAACUUCUUUAUUUGUUCUUUUUAGGUGCAUAUGACGGCAGAGUGUCUGUUGACAUAAACACCUGGAGCAUGACCUCUAAUCAGCAUCCUGUCCUCGUGGUGUACCCGACGUGGGGCUUCCCGGGUGUGGAGUCAGCCAACCUUUUGUCUCCCCAGCCUUCUCUUCUCAGGGUCAGCUGGUCAGUGCCCACUGUCUGCUCUGCAAAAACCCCCUGUGGUCCAGAGGGGACAGAUGAACCAAGGCAACCUGCUCACAGGACGCCGCAACUGGAGCCAUUGUUAUCCUGCAGCCCAGCAGGGACCACAGGGAGGGGAGGGCUCUUUCCCAGAGGGAAUGCCUGCUGAGGUGAGCAGGGACAGGAACACCGACAGAGAGGUGGUCAGGGCCAGGCAGGGAGCAGUUCGAGCCUGGUGCUCGGGGCUUACAGUGGACACACGGGGUUGGGGAACACCCAGGGCUCUGUAAGUAAGAGGGCUGUGGCCAGGGUGAGGUGGUGGGAAAGGGUGAGGUGGCGGGAGUCUGGCAUGGGAGAAGGACAGUAAGUGUCCCCUGGCUGUGUAUAGGGAGGGGCUUGUGGCAGGGAGAUGGGGUGGGGAUGAGGACAUCUAUGGAGAGACCACCGAGGCCGGACCAGGACAUGACCAAGACCAUGAGCAGCUCACCAAGGGUCACUGAGGAGGGGGGGAUUGACCGGGGGUGCUGAGGAGGCAGAGGUCGACACUUGAGUACCGAGGGGGUGGCAAGGCUGGUGCUCUAGAGAAGAGAAGGCGGCGCAGGCAUCCAUGCAGGGAGAGGAGGGAAGGAGUGAGGUGCACCCGGGAGCCCAGAGGCAACGUCCCCAGCAGCAAACUUCCACCAGCCUGUCCCGCAGCGGCUCCUCCACAAGGCGGGCGUUGGCCCACGUGGCCGGGCACAGCAGCUAGCCACCCAACACAGGCCCAGAGCAGCCCCUCUGUGCUAAGGCACAUGGCACGGUGCCCCUGGAGACAGCUGGCGCUGGCUUGGCAGGCCCGCCCCACGGCCCUGCUGUCUCCUGGAGUGGUGGCAAUUCAACUGCUAGUUGCAGCCAAGUGUCACGGGUGUUAGGCCAACAGCUCCCUGGGUGGGGCCUGGCCAGGCGUCCCG